This 746-nucleotide ribosomal RNA is filed under the name uncultured fungus. Its description in RNAcentral is "eukaryotic LSU rRNA". It matches the Rfam family "Eukaryotic large subunit ribosomal RNA", at positions 38 to 633 of the family's 3401-position model. The record is from RNAcentral. Lineage: Eukaryota; Fungi.
GCAUAUCAAUAAGCGGAGGAAAAGAAAAUAACAAUGAUUCCCCUAGUAGCUGCGAGUGAAGAGGGAUAAGCUCAAAUUUUAAAUCUGUCGGGUUCUACCUGACCGAGUUGUAAUUUGAAGAGGCGUUUUCUGUGUUUCUGAUCAGUCCAAGUCCUUUGGGAUAAGGCAUCACGGAGGGUGAGAAUCCCGUUCGGUUGAUCAGAUUUGCUUUACGAUACGCUUUCAAAGAGUCAAGUUGUUUGGGAUUGCAGCUUAAAAUGGGAGGUAAAUUUCUCCUAAGGCUAAAUAACGGCGAGAGACCGAUAGCGAACAAGUACCGUGAGGGAAAGAUGAAAAGAACUUUGAAAAGAGAGUUAAACAGUACGUGAAAUUGUUGAAAGGGAAACGAUUGAAGCCAGUCGUACCUGCGGGUAAUCAGCCUUUUGGGCAUGAUUCUGUGGAGCGUGAGGAGUUAAACGCCUUCUUGCCUGCAUAUUCGUGUACUUUGGGUGUACUUGCCCGUGUGGUUAGUUAACAUCAAUUUUGGUUAUCAUAAAAUGGCUGGAGGAAUGUAGCUUCGAUUUCGAUUGAAGUGUUUAUAGCCUUCGGCAGAUGUGAUGAUCGGGAUUGAGGAUUGCAACGGAUACCCUUCGGGGCUACCUGUCUGAUCUCUGAUCGUUGCUCUGGUGCCGAAAGCGUGCUUACGGUUAUCAAAGUCGAUGGUUAAUAGGUUAGAACGGGUUAAAUUCGUUAAGGAUGUUGACGUA